Molecule: long non-coding RNA, 376 nt
Organism: Macrobrachium nipponense
Lineage: Eukaryota; Metazoa; Arthropoda; Malacostraca; Decapoda; Palaemonidae
Exons: 2
Source: RefSeq, a predicted model, not a curated record
GCAUCGCUGAGACAUCCAGGGACUUACUGGAGGCUCCAACAUGAUCGGAUCUUGGAGCUACCCACAAGCCGACGGAACCUUAGCUGAGGUCACCUUCGUGGCCGACGAGAACGGAUUCCAGCCCCAGUCCUCGUUGUUGCCAGUGGCUCCCGCCUUCCCCCACCCCAUCCCACAGUUCGUCCUCGACCAGAUCGAGUUCGCCAGGCUCGAGAAGGAGAGACAGCAACGAGAGGGAAACAGGGCUUAGACGAACGAACGAAAAAAGAGAAAAUGUUUCAUGGCCACUUUUAGUUUUUUUAGUAUUGUUGUUUUCUUUUGAACCUCAAUGGAUUAUUAUUGUUUAACUCGACAUGUGAAUAAAUUAUUGAUGACUUUA